UGCAACUUUGACAAGAUCUACAGCCUGACUCU
RNAcentral lists this non-coding RNA (32 nucleotides) under Mus musculus (house mouse). The record is from RNAcentral. Lineage: Eukaryota; Metazoa; Chordata; Mammalia; Rodentia; Muridae.